GUUGUUAUAUGUUUCAGUUGUGUUUUUCUUUGAUGUCUGAUGCUGUGACUGUGGCAUGGAGCUCACUGUUAGUUUUCCCAGAAAGGAGGAAUGUUGUCCAUGGUGUAGAGAGAACCAUGGAGAAUAUCCUAUCAGAAUUGAGGAGAAGAGGAUUGUUUUCCAUAUUCUUUGAGAGGAUUUUUGGCACUAAGGUAGCCUGGGAUGCAGAAGCCACCCCAUGCCAAGCUCCUGCAAGGUUAUCAGGUUACAUCAACAGCAUAUUGGAAAGCAGCACAAGGAGUGGUUCUGCUCUAGCCAUCCAGGAAUUUUCAAAUGCAGAUUUGGUGACCCUCAAGAAUGCAGGCCUGUCACACAAUGAAAAUAUAACUCAGAAUGGUAUGGUGCUGUAGACAGGAAGGAUGUUUACAGAAAAAAAUUGAAAGAACUGUGAUCUGAGAAAAAAUGCAAAAUGAAGUGAAUCUGUAGGAGAGCAGAGCAAAACAAAGAGCUACAGCUAGCAGGUAGCAGAUUUACUGAGAUUGAUAGUGAUAAUUUUGAAGUGAUCAGUUGCCAAGAUUAUUAGGAAUAAGAACCUAAGAAUGACAAGAAAGACUACAGUGAUUGUCAUCUCUGUUUGAUAUAAUUCAAGAUAUGAGCAUUUCCUUAGAGGUAUGAGGUCUGACAAAAGUUGAAGGGAUGCAGGAGACUGGUAGCAGACCUUGCCUCGAAAGCAUUCCUAUUGAUAUAGCUGAAUUAAAGACCCAAACACUUUUCAGGGGGCGGAAGCAAUGGCUUUGUAAUCCCCUCUGGAUAACCUGUCUGCAGUGUCUCAGCUUUUGUAUUUUCAUCUGUAUAUAUACAUAAACAUCUAUGCAUAUGAAUGUGUGCACACCUGAAUCCUGCUGUGAGGGAGGGUUUGGGCACAAGAGCUUUAGAGAUGGUGGAAUGGAAGAAAUGAUUGCACCAUUCUUUGGAAGAUGGUGCAGCAGGCAAGAGUGGCAUGACAGUUUUAGUAGUCCCCAGCACUCUCCCUCUGCUCUUCUGCGUAAGAAAAAACAGAGGCCCCGGAGGUUAGGAAAGGGCAAAGACCAGUGAAGUUGUGCCCGAGGUCUCUGAGCACAUGGGGAUUUGUCCAGCUGCC
This is a long non-coding RNA of Pyrgilauda ruficollis (rufous-necked snowfinch), 1120 nucleotides long. RefSeq lists it as uncharacterized. Lineage: Eukaryota; Metazoa; Chordata; Aves; Passeriformes; Passeridae. The transcript has 3 exons. The record is from RefSeq and is a predicted model, not a curated record.